Molecule: unclassified non-coding RNA, 348 nt
Filed under: soil metagenome
Description: partial contains 5.8S ribosomal RNA, internal transcribed spacer 2, and large subunit ribosomal RNA
Rfam family: 5.8S ribosomal RNA (bases 1-120)
Source: RNAcentral
GAUGAAGAACGUAGCGAAAUGCGAUAAGUAAUGUGAAUUGCAGAAUUCAGUGAAUCAUCGAGUCUUUGAACGCACAUUGCGCCCCCUGGUAUUCCGGGGGGCAUGCCUGUCCGAGCGUCAUUGCUGCCCUCAAGCACGGCUUGUGUGUUGGGCCCCCGCCCCCCGGCUUCGGGGGGCGGGCCCGAAAGGCAGCGGCGGCACCGCGUCCGGUCCUCGAGCGUAUGGGGCUUCGUCACCCGCUCUGUAGGCCCGGCCGGCGCCCGCCGGCGACCCCAAUCAAUCUUUCCAGGUUGACCUCGGAUCAGGUAGGGAUACCCGCUGAACUUAAGCAUAUCAAAAAGCGGAGGA